CCCUUAGAUGUCCUGGGCCGCACGCGCGCUACACUGACAUGUUCAACAAGCCUCCUAGUUCGACAGGAUUUGGGAAAUCUUUGAACGCAUGUCGUGAUAGGGAUAGAUCAUUGCAAUUAUUGAUCUUGAACGAGGAAUUCCUAGUAAACGCGAGUCAUCAGCUCGCAUUGAUUACGUCCCUGCCCUUUGUACACACCGCCCGUCGCACCUACCGAUUGAAUGUUUCGGUGAAGAUUCCGGAUAGGACUUUUUUGAUUUAUUUCAAUUUUGUCUUAAAAGCUAUCUAAACCGCAACAUUUAGAGGAAGGUGAAGUCGUAACA
RNAcentral lists this ribosomal RNA (321 nucleotides) under uncultured eukaryote. RNAcentral's name for it is "partial 18S ribosomal RNA". It matches the Rfam family "Eukaryotic small subunit ribosomal RNA", at positions 1470 to 1796 of the family's 1831-position model. The record is from RNAcentral.